RNAcentral lists this ribosomal RNA (254 nucleotides) under uncultured bacterium. RNAcentral describes it as "partial 16S ribosomal RNA". It matches the Rfam family "Bacterial small subunit ribosomal RNA", at positions 524 to 777 of the family's 1533-position model. The record is from RNAcentral.
GACAGAGGGUGCAAACGUUGCUCGGAAUUACUGGGCGUAAAGCGCGUGUAGGCUGACCGGAAAGUCGGGCGUGAAAUCCCUGGGCUCAACCCAGGAACUGCACUCGAAACUCCCGGUCUUGAGUGGUGGAGAGGGAAGUGGAAUUCCUGGUGUAGAGGUGAAAUGCGCAGAUAUCGGGAAGAACACCCGUGGCGAAGGCGGCUCUCUGGGACGGUACUGACGCUGAGACGCGAAAGCGUGGGGAGCGAACGAGG